UGUGGUGCACAAAGAAGCGUAACGACAGCACUGAAUGACGGUUAACGGAGCGCAAGCGACGUUCAACAUACAAAGUCAAGCAGUGGAGCGCUUUGGGGUGGGGUGACUGCGUACCUUUUGUAUAAUGGGUCAGCGACUUAUAUUCUGUAGCAAGGUUAACCGAAUAGGGGAGCCGGAGGGAAACCGAGUCUUAACCGGGCGUUAAGUUGCAGGGUAUAGACCCGAAACCCGGUGAUCUAGCCAUGGGCAGGUUGAAGGUUGGGUAACACUAACUGGAGGACCGAACCGACUAAUGUUGAAAAAUUAGCGGAUGACCUGUGGCUGGGGGUGAAAGGCCAAUCAAACCGGGAGAUAGCUGGUUCUCCCCGAAAGCUAUUUAGGUAGCGCCUCGUGAAUUCAUCUCCGGGGGUAGAGCACUGUUUCGGCUAGGGGGCCAUCCCGGCUUACCAACCCGAUGCAAACUGCGAAUACCGGAGAAUGUUAUCACGGGAGACACACGGCGGGUGCUAACGUCCGUCGUGAAGAGGGAAACAACCCAGACCGCCAGCUAAGGUCCCAAAGUCAUGGUUAAGUGGGAAACGAUGUGGGAAGGCCCAGACAGCCAGGAUGUUGGCUUAGAAGCAGCCAUCAUUUAAAGAAAGCGUAAUAGCUCACUGGUCGAGUCGGCCUGCGCGGAAGAUGUAACGGGGCUAAACCAUGCACCGAAGCUGCGGCAGCGACGCUUAUGCGUUGUUGGGUAGGGGAGCGUUCUGUAAGCCUGUGAAGGUGGCCUGUGAGGGUUGCUGGAGGUAUCAGAAGUGCGAAUGCUGACAUAAGUAACGAUAAAGCGGGUGAAAAGCCCGCUCGCCGGAAGACCAAGGGUUCCUGUCCAACGUUAAUCGGGGCAGGGUGAGUCGACCCCUAAGGCGAGGCCGAAAGGCGUAGUCGAUGGGAAACGGGUUAAUAUUCCCGUACUUGGUGUUACUGCGAAGGGGGGACGGAGAAGGCUAUGUUGGCCGGGCGACGGUUGUCCCGGUUUAAGCGUGUAGGUGUGUGUUCCAGGUAAAUCCGGUUCACUUUAACACUGAGGCGUGAUGACGAGGCACUACGGUGCUGAAGCAACAAAUGCCCUGCUUCCAGGAAAAGCCUCUAAGCAUCAGGUAACAUCAAAUCGUACCCCAAACCGACACAGGUGGUCAGGUAGAGAAUACCAAGGCGCUUGAGAGAACUCGGGUGAAGGAACUAGGCAAAAUGGUGCCGUAACUUCGGGAGAAGGCACGCUGACAUGUAGGUGAAGUGAUUUACUCAUGGAGCUGAAGUCAGUCGAAGAUACCAGCUGGCUGCAACUGUUUAUUAAAAACACAGCACUGUGCAAACACGAAAGUGGACGUAUACGGUGUGACGCCUGCCCGGUGCCGGAAGGUUAAUUGAUGGGGUCAGCGCAAGCGAAGCUCCUGAUCGAAGCCCCGGUAAACGGCGGCCGUAACUAUAACGGUCCUAAGGUAGCGAAAUUCCUUGUCGGGUAAGUUCCGACCUGCACGAAUGGCGUAAUGAUGGCCAGGCUGUCUCCACCCGAGACUCAGUGAAAUUGAACUCGCUGUGAAGAUGCAGUGUACCCGCGGCAAGACGGAAAGACCCCGUGAACCUUUACUAUAGCUUGACACUGAACAUUGAGCCUUGAUGUGUAGGAUAGGUGGGAGGCUU
Molecule: ribosomal RNA, 1683 nt
Filed under: Salmonella enterica subsp. enterica serovar Weltevreden
Lineage: Bacteria; Pseudomonadati; Pseudomonadota; Gammaproteobacteria; Enterobacterales; Enterobacteriaceae
Description: partial 23S ribosomal RNA
Rfam family: Bacterial large subunit ribosomal RNA
Source: RNAcentral